This is a long non-coding RNA of Pogoniulus pusillus (Red-fronted tinkerbird), 663 nucleotides long. RefSeq lists it as uncharacterized. The transcript is spliced from 4 exons. The record is from RefSeq and is a predicted model, not a curated record. NCBI's taxonomy places the organism in Eukaryota, Metazoa, Chordata, Aves, Piciformes, Lybiidae.
AAAGGCAGAAGCCCCAAGCUUGCCCAACUGGGCAGAAGGAUCCUCCUCCUGUUCAUCACUGAUAAUUAAUGAAGCCAUUAAACAGAAGUGGGCCCCACACUGAUCCCUGGGAGACACCACUAGUGACUGGCUGCCAACUGGAUGUGGCACUAUUUGCUACCACUCUCUGGCCAUCAGCCAGUUCUUUUUUGAUAAAGGUGGUCUCCUACCUGUGAUGUCUAAUUCUGUUGUUCAUAUUUAGUGAAGACUGUGAUACUGCACUUGGAGACAACAACCAGGGCCAGCAUUCAACAUCAUAUGUGGCUACCCCUUGUAUUUCAUUUCACAUAAAGAGGCAUCUAAAGUCUGCAGAGGAUGCCACAUCACGAGACUCUUAUAUUGUGGUUGCACCUGCCAGCAGCACUCAUAUGUAGCCUUCCUGGACUGAGAUUGUUACAACUUUACCUCUUACAAAGAGUUUUGUGUAAUCAGAGUGGACUAAUAAUGAGCGUAGGAAUUAAUGUGAUAAUAGUCUAAUCUCUCCCUGUGGUAUGCUACUGUCAGCUACUAAAGAUGGUGGUGGCCUUAUUUCCCUAGGAAGAUGUAUCUGACACUGCCUGUCAAAGAUCAAAGCUAAACUCUAAUAAAGAUGUUGCACUGAAGUAAAUUCAGUUUGCUAACAAA